AGUGAACGCUUGCGGCAGGCCUAACACAUGCAAGUCGAACGGCAGCACAGAGGAGCUUGCUCCUUGGGUGGCGAGUGGCGGACGGGUGAGGAAUGCGUCGGAAUCUGCCUUUUUGUGGGGGAUAACGUAGGGAAACUUACGCUAAUACCGCAUACGACCUACGGGUGAAAGUGGGGGACCGCAAGGCCUCACGCAGAAAGAUGAGCCGACGCCGGAUUAGCUAGUUGGCGGGGUAAAGGCCCACCAAGGCGACGAUCCGUAGCCGGUCUGAGAGGAUGAGCAGCCGCACGGGGACUGAGACACGGCCCAGACUCCGACGGGAGGCAGCAGUGGGGAAUAUUGGACAAUGGGCGCAAGCCUGAUCCAGCCAUGCCGCGUGUGUGAAGAAGGCCUUCGGGUUGUAAAGCACUUUUGUCCGGAAAGAAAUCCUUUCGAUUAAUACUCGGGAGGGAUGACGGUACCGGAAGAAUAAGCACCGGCUAACUUCGUGCCAGCCGCCGCGGUAA
This 506-nucleotide ribosomal RNA is filed under the name uncultured bacterium. RNAcentral's name for it is "partial 16S ribosomal RNA". It matches the Rfam family "Bacterial small subunit ribosomal RNA", at positions 29 to 523 of the family's 1533-position model. The record is from RNAcentral.